UGCCAGCCGCCGCGGUAAUACGAAGGGUGCUAGCGUUGUUCGGAAUCACUGGGCAUAAAGCGCACGUAGGCGGCGCAUUAAGUCAGGUGUGAAAGCCCCCGGCUCAACCGGGGAAUUGCAUCUGAUACUGAUGUGCUAGAGGACGGUUGGGGUGAGUGGAACUCCUGGUGGAGCGGUGAAAUGCGUAGAUAUCAGGAGGAACACCAGUGGCGAAAGCGGCUCACUGGACCGUAUCUGACGCUGAGGUGCGAAAGCUAGGGUAGCAAACAGGAUUAGAUA
This 279-nucleotide ribosomal RNA is filed under the name uncultured bacterium. Its description in RNAcentral is "partial 16S ribosomal RNA". It matches the Rfam family "Bacterial small subunit ribosomal RNA", at positions 506 to 784 of the family's 1533-position model. The record is from RNAcentral.